This 253-nucleotide ribosomal RNA is filed under the name uncultured bacterium. RNAcentral describes it as "partial 16S ribosomal RNA". It matches the Rfam family "Bacterial small subunit ribosomal RNA", at positions 524 to 776 of the family's 1533-position model. The record is from RNAcentral.
UACGUAGGUGGCAAGCGUUGUCCGGAAUUACUGGGUGUAAAGGGAGCGCAGGCGGGAAGCCAAGUCAGCUGUGAAAACUACGGGCUUAACUUGUAGACUGCAGUUGAAACUGGUUUUCUUGAGUGAAGUAGAGGUUGGCGGAAUCCCGAGUGUAGCGGUGAAAUGCGUAGAUAUUCGGAGGAACACCGGUGGCGAAGGCGGCCAACUGGGCUUUAACUGACGCUGAGGCUCGAAAGUGUGGGGAGCAAACAGG